UACGGGGGGGGCAAGCGUUGUUCGGAAUUACUGGGCGUAAAGGGCUCGUAGGCGGCCAACUAAGCCAGACGUGAAAUCCCUCGGCUUAACCGGGGAACUGCAUCUGAUACUGGAUGGCUUGAGUUCGGGAGAGGGAUGCGGAAUUCCAGGUGUAGCGGUGAAAUGCGUAGAUAUCUGGAGGAACACCGGUGGCGAAGGCGGCAUCCUGGACCGACACUGACGCUGAGGAGCGAAAGCCAGGGGAGCAAACGGG
RNAcentral lists this ribosomal RNA (253 nucleotides) under uncultured bacterium. RNAcentral describes it as "partial 16S ribosomal RNA". It matches the Rfam family "Bacterial small subunit ribosomal RNA", at positions 524 to 776 of the family's 1533-position model. The record is from RNAcentral.